GAUGAACGCUGGCGGCGUGCCUAAUACAUGCAAGUCGAGCGAACAGACGAGGAGCUUGCUCCUUCGACGUUAGCAGCGGACGGGUGAGUAACACGUAGGUAACCUACCUAUAAGACUGGGAUAACUUCGGGAAACCGGAGCUAAUACCGGAUAAUAUUUCGAACCGCAUGGUUCGAUAGUGAAAGAUGGCUUUGCUAUCACUUAUAGAUGGACCUGCGCCGUAUUAGCUAGUUGGUAAGGUAACGGCUUACCAAGGCAACGAUACGUAGCCGACCUGAGAGGGUGAUCGGCCACACUGGAACUGAGACACGGUCCAGACUCCUACGGGAGGCAGCAGUAGGGAAUCUUCCGCAAUGGGCGAAAGCCUGACGGAGCAACGCCGCGUGAGUGAUGAAGGUCUUCGGAUCGUAAAACUCUGUUAUUAGGGAAGAACAAACGUGUAAGUAACUGUGCACGUCUUGACGGUACCUAAUCAGAAAGCCACGGCUAACUACGUG
Molecule: ribosomal RNA, 497 nt
Filed under: uncultured bacterium
Lineage: Bacteria
Description: partial 16S ribosomal RNA
Rfam family: Bacterial small subunit ribosomal RNA
Source: RNAcentral